GACAGGCUGUCCGAGUGGUUAAGGAGUUGGACUUGAAUUCUUCUUUGAGUUAUCCAAUGCGGUUUCCGCGCGCAGGUUCGAAUCCUGCGUCUGUCG
This is a transfer RNA of Tortispora caseinolytica NRRL Y-17796, 96 nucleotides long. It matches the Rfam family "tRNA". From Rfam's summary of the family: Transfer RNA (tRNA) molecules are approximately 80 nucleotides in length. Their secondary structure includes four short double-helical elements and three loops (D, anti-codon, and T loops). The record is from Rfam. NCBI's taxonomy places the organism in Eukaryota, Fungi, Ascomycota, Trigonopsidomycetes, Trigonopsidales, Trigonopsidaceae.